CACGCGAGGGGCGCGCGGGCUGUCCCGGGGGCUGAUCGCUGGGCCAGGAGGGUCAGCCCCCUCACGCACCCAACUCUGGGCCCUGCGAACGGUCCCUUGCCGUACGCCCUGGGGACGCCGCGUCCCGCACGCUCAGGGACCUGGGGACACUCGCCUGGGGGCGGGGGCCGUGCUGCGGAGCCGCCCACGCCGAGCUUCAGGAGCUGGAGUCGGCAGGAUGGGUGUCGGGACAUGCUGAUCUCCCCGUGAGACAGUAUGGAAAAUUACAAACGCACAGGAGUGGAGAGACUGGUGUGACGCAUCUCCACGCACCCUCACCAGCUCCCACCGUGAAGUCACAGUCUAGAAGUAGAGUCGUUGUCUUCCAUCUGUAACCUUCUCUACAUGUGCUACUGUAAAUGGUGUCGCCUUAAA
This is a long non-coding RNA of Eptesicus fuscus (big brown bat), 414 nucleotides long. RefSeq lists it as uncharacterized. The record is from RefSeq and is a predicted model, not a curated record. Lineage: Eukaryota; Metazoa; Chordata; Mammalia; Chiroptera; Vespertilionidae. The transcript has 3 exons.